ACUCAAAGGAAUUGACGGGGCUCCGCACAAGCAGUGGAGCAUGUGGUUUAAUCCGAUGCUACGCGUAGAACCUUACCGAGGCUUGACAUCCCAGGAAUCCCCUGGAAACAGGGGAGUGCCUUCGGGAACCUGGUGACAGAUGCUGCAUGGCCGUCGUCAGCUCGUGUCGUGAGAUGUUGGGUUAAGUCCCGCAACGAGCGCAACCCUUGUCGUGUGUUGUAUUUUUCACGCGAGACCGCCCGGGCCAACCGGGAGGAAGGUGGGGAUGACGUCAGGUCGGCAUGGCUCUUACGCCUCGGGCUACACACGUGCUACAAUGGCCGGCACAACGGGUCGCUAAAUCGCGAGAUGGAGCUAAUCCCAUCAAAACCGGUCCCAGUUCGGAUUGCAGGCUGCAACUCGCCUGCAUGAAGUUGGAAUUGCUAGUAACCGUGGGUCAGCAUACCACGGUGAAUACGUUCCCGGAGCUUGUACACACCGCCCGU
This 485-nucleotide ribosomal RNA is filed under the name uncultured bacterium. Its description in RNAcentral is "partial 16S ribosomal RNA". It matches the Rfam family "Bacterial small subunit ribosomal RNA", at positions 899 to 1397 of the family's 1533-position model. The record is from RNAcentral.